AACGAACGCUGGCGGCAUGCCUAACACAUGCAAGUCGAACGAGACCUUCGGGUCUAGUGGCGCACGGGUGCGUAACGCGUGGGAACCUGCCCUUAGGUUCGGAAUAACUCCCCGAAAGGGGUGCUAAUACCGGAUAAUGUCUUCGGACCAAAGAUUUAUCGCCUUUGGAUGGGCCCGCGUUGGAUUAGCUAGUUGGUAGGGUAAAAGCCUACCAAGGCGACGAUCCAUAGCUGGUCUGAGAGGAUGAUCAGCCACACUGGGACUGAGACACGGCCCAGACUCCUACGGGAGGCAGCAGUGGGGAAUAUUGGACAAUGGCGAAAGCCUGAUCCAGCAAUGCCGCGUGAGUGAUGAAGGCCUUAGGGUUGUAAAGCUCUUUUACCCGGGAUGAUAAUGACAGUACCGGGAGAAUAAGCUCCGGCUAACUCCGU
RNAcentral lists this ribosomal RNA (431 nucleotides) under uncultured bacterium. RNAcentral describes it as "partial 16S ribosomal RNA". It matches the Rfam family "Bacterial small subunit ribosomal RNA", at positions 29 to 506 of the family's 1533-position model. The record is from RNAcentral.